Molecule: transfer RNA, 79 nt
Filed under: Pleurodeles waltl (Iberian ribbed newt)
Lineage: Eukaryota; Metazoa; Chordata; Amphibia; Caudata; Salamandridae
Description: tRNA-Gln
Rfam family: tRNA (bases 3-73)
About the family: Transfer RNA (tRNA) molecules are approximately 80 nucleotides in length. Their secondary structure includes four short double-helical elements and three loops (D, anti-codon, and T loops). Further hydrogen bonds mediate the characteristic L-shaped molecular structure. tRNAs have two regions of fundamental functional importance: the anti-codon, which is responsible for specific mRNA codon recognition, and the 3' end, to which the tRNAs corresponding amino acid is attached (by aminoacyl-tRNA synthetases). tRNAs cope with the degeneracy of the genetic code in two manners: having more than one tRNA (with a specific anti-codon) for a particular amino acid; and 'wobble' base-pairing, i.e. permitting non-standard base-pairing at the 3rd anti-codon position.
Source: RNAcentral
GGUAAAAGAUGGUGUAGUGGGAGCACGAGGGGUUUUGAUCUCCUAAGGGUAGGUUCGAGUCCUAUUUUUUUAACAUACA